Sorex araneus (European shrew) is the source of this 427-nucleotide long non-coding RNA. RefSeq lists it as uncharacterized. The record is from RefSeq and is a predicted model, not a curated record. Lineage: Eukaryota; Metazoa; Chordata; Mammalia; Eulipotyphla; Soricidae. The transcript has 3 exons.
UGUGCUUUUGCUCAUAGAUAACACCACAGCCUGAUCCGUGUUUUAACAAAGCUGAUUCUAUCAUCAGUACUUCAAAGGACACUUCCUCUACUGAAUUGUAAUACCUGAUCCUUGCUGCUUCUCUUUCUCCUGGUUAACUCUACUUUCCUGAGAUCACCAGGAUCACAAGAAAUUUUUGCUUCACUGCGCCUGUGUGUGAACUCGGUGAAUGAAAUUUGAUAUCUGGCAAGGAUCACAACUAAGUGCUGUAUGAGCAUUGUUACAGGAAUGUGAUCCCCUAAAAGCAUGGAUUUUACAUCAUCAUCAUCAUCAUCAUCCCGUUGAUUGUCAAAUGUAUCGAGCAGUCUCAGUAUCGUCUCCAUUUGUCCUAGCCCUGAGAUUUUAGAAGUCUCUCUUUUCUCAUCCUUCCAAACGAUGCUGCAUUGGA